UGGGCAUUUAGAAGCUUGAGCCAUCACAUCGGGUAGAAUCCAGUGAGAACUGUUCCGCUGCUCCCCAAGGGCUCGUCACAAAGAUUUCUGCACUAGCGUCUUCCUUGAGUUGCUUCUGUCACUGCCCUCCUCCAAAUCAUUCAAUCCACUUGGAUCAACUCCAUGGCAGUCUCUGGACUGGCCUCUCUGCACCCAUCGGACAUGCCCCUGCUACUAUGGCAAAACCACCCACCUUGUUCAGUUACUGUUCCUGACCUGAUCACCCAGACCCUGUCAUUUCAGCUACUUGGUCAAGCUGGAGUGCUUCCUUGAGCACUGGUAACAGGAGGUUCUCACUAUGGCCUUUAGGCAAGUGCUAUCAGUACCAACUAGGAACUGAGCAGAGAUGGAAAGUCUCAGGUCCUGUGGUAGGUCAGAAGCUAUGGUGGUGGCUUGUCACGGGAUUUGGUUGCAUCUCAAGUUUGAAAGUCACUAUUCCAUAUGAACACUCCUUUCUGAUCUAAUUGCUCAGGCCAAUGUACCAACCAUGCUGCGUUUCUCCUGGCUCAUCUUACUCUUUAGCUGUCUGCUCAUCUGAAACCGAACAAUUAAACCUGGCCAUUGUCCUUUU
Long non-coding RNA from Mesocricetus auratus (golden hamster), 610 nucleotides. RefSeq lists it as uncharacterized. The transcript has 2 exons. Lineage: Eukaryota; Metazoa; Chordata; Mammalia; Rodentia; Cricetidae. The record is from RefSeq and is a predicted model, not a curated record.